This is a long non-coding RNA of Chenopodium quinoa (quinoa), 779 nucleotides long. RefSeq lists it as uncharacterized. NCBI's taxonomy places the organism in Eukaryota, Viridiplantae, Streptophyta, Magnoliopsida, Caryophyllales, Amaranthaceae. The transcript has 3 exons. The record is from RefSeq and is a predicted model, not a curated record.
CAAUUUGAUCUUAUCAUCCUUUUCUUAAUGCAAUAAGAAGACAAAUUCUACCUCUUCAAUUACCACCUUCACGGUUAAGAAAUGACUUGGGAUAAGGCCAAAUUUGUUUCAUCCAAUUCCUAUAAGAAUCAAAUUAUAGUUAUCAAGUGACAUAGUUAAUCCUAUUUUCUUCCUCCUUCUCUUGCAAGUCUUAGCAACAAACAUACUACUUUCCAACCGUUAAAGAAAUACCGCAAUUACUGUCACCCCUCUUCUCCUACUACCGCCUGACCUCUAUCAUCAUCGGUCAACCGUCGCCGCCCCCCGUGUGCGCUGCCUCCCCUGUACUGCCCAAAACCACCCAUCCAUUUAUUUCAUUUUGGGUGAUGCGUGCUAUGUUCUUGCCAAGUUAAAGAUUGGUCUUAUGAAAUCAAGCUCUUAAACUUGUUUAUAUAUACACCCAAAAAGAAUCGGACCUCGGAGCUCAGUGAGAACGAUAGAAUAAAGGCUAACAGGAAGGUUAUCAGACUGUAAAUCGAGGUACUGCUGGGGAUGAUGGAGACGAGUAGUAGCGAGGAUUUUACUUUCAGUUAUCACUUAAUAGUAGUUAUAGUUUUAAUUUGUUUAAUUUGAAUAGUAAGACUAAGCUACUUAGUAAAGUUUGAGAUAAGAUAGGAUUUUCUAUUAUAAAAAUUAAGAAUAAUGUUUGUUAUAAAUAGAUUACUAUGUUUUAUAAAUCAAGUUUGUUAAUUAAGUAUGUUUGUUGCCUUGUAAAUCUCGUGAGGGAUUUACGGCAGUGA